RNAcentral lists this long non-coding RNA (357 nucleotides) under Bos taurus (domestic cattle). Its description in RNAcentral is "long non-coding RNA NONBTAT023022". The record is from RNAcentral. Lineage: Eukaryota; Metazoa; Chordata; Mammalia; Artiodactyla; Bovidae.
UUUGGGCAUAUGCUCCAUAAUGCCAUCUGGCAUAAAUAUGGAUAGUGGUUUUCUCUACAGUGGAGAAAAAGUUUAAUUUAUGUGAAAAGGUAUGUCCCUUCCUCCUUAAGGAAACUGUAGGACAUUCAGAUACUCACCACUUGUGGUAAAAGGUCCUUCCUUCUUAGCUGGUUAAAAAUGCUAACAUGCUUUUGUCAGGCCAAGAUAUCAAGCUUUUUUUAUUUUAGAUUUACCUUUUUUAGUACAGCCUUAUAAAUUAGCAGUUGCCGUUGUUUCUCAGACUCUAGUAGUCCUUAAACACAAAAUGAUUGAAUUAAACCCUGACUUACUUGGAAAAACAAGUUACCAAGGAUUACU